This 468-nucleotide ribosomal RNA is filed under the name uncultured bacterium. RNAcentral describes it as "partial 16S ribosomal RNA". It matches the Rfam family "Bacterial small subunit ribosomal RNA", at positions 28 to 507 of the family's 1533-position model. The record is from RNAcentral.
GACGAACGCUGGCGGCGUGCUUAACACAUGCAAGUCGAACGGAAAGGCCCUGCUUUUGUGGGGUGCUCGAGUGGUGAACGGGUGAGUAACACGUGAGUAACCUGCCCUUGACUUUGGGAUAACUUCAGGAAACUGGGGCUAAUACCGGAUAGGAGCUCCUGCUGCAUGGUGGGGGUUGGAAAGUUUCGGCGGUUGGGGAUGGACUCGCGGCUUAUCAGCUUGUUGGUGGGGUAGUGGCUUACCAAGGCUUUGACGGGUAGCCGGCCUGAGAGGGUGACCGGCCACAUUGGGACUGAGAUACGGCCCAGACUCCUACGGGAGGCAGCAGUGGGGAAUAUUGCACAAUGGGCGGAAGCCUGAUGCAGCAACGCCGCGUGCGGGAUGACGGCCUUCGGGUUGUAAACCGCUUUCGCCUGUGACGAGGCGUGAGUGACGGUAAUGGGUAAAGAAGCACCGGCUAACUACGUG